This 253-nucleotide ribosomal RNA is filed under the name uncultured bacterium. RNAcentral's name for it is "partial 16S ribosomal RNA". It matches the Rfam family "Bacterial small subunit ribosomal RNA", at positions 524 to 776 of the family's 1533-position model. The record is from RNAcentral.
UACGUAGGGUGCGAGCGUUAAUCGGAAUUACUGGACGUAAAGCGCGCGUAGGCGGCCAGAUAAGUCCGGUGUGAAAGUCACAGGCUCAACCUGUGAAUGCCGCUGGAAACUGUCUGGCUUGAGUCCGGAAGGGGCGAGUGGAAUUCCGGGUGUAGUGGUGAAAUGCGUAGAGAUCCGGAGGAACACCAGUGGCGAAGGCGACACGCUGGGCCGUACCUGACACUGAUGCGCGACAGCAUGGGGAGCAAACAGG